GCCUUUGUAGCUGAAAUGGAUUAGCACCUGCCUUUUAAGCAGGGGAUGUUGGAUCGUUACCAACCGGGGGCAC
RNAcentral lists this transfer RNA (73 nucleotides) under Arthrobacter phage Racecar. Its description in RNAcentral is "tRNA-Lys". It matches the Rfam family "tRNA". From Rfam's summary of the family: Transfer RNA (tRNA) molecules are approximately 80 nucleotides in length. Their secondary structure includes four short double-helical elements and three loops (D, anti-codon, and T loops). Further hydrogen bonds mediate the characteristic L-shaped molecular structure. tRNAs have two regions of fundamental functional importance: the anti-codon, which is responsible for specific mRNA codon recognition, and the 3' end, to which the tRNAs corresponding amino acid is attached (by aminoacyl-tRNA synthetases). tRNAs cope with the degeneracy of the genetic code in two manners: having more than one tRNA (with a specific anti-codon) for a particular amino acid; and 'wobble' base-pairing, i.e. permitting non-standard base-pairing at the 3rd anti-codon position. Lineage: Duplodnaviria; Heunggongvirae; Uroviricota; Caudoviricetes. The record is from RNAcentral.